RNAcentral lists this ribosomal RNA (478 nucleotides) under uncultured bacterium. RNAcentral's name for it is "partial 16S ribosomal RNA". It matches the Rfam family "Bacterial small subunit ribosomal RNA", at positions 28 to 523 of the family's 1533-position model. The record is from RNAcentral.
GACGAACGCUGGCGGCGUGCUUAACACAUGCAAGUCGAACGGUAAGGCCCUUCGGGGUACACGAGUGGCGAACGGGUGAGUAACACGUGGGUGAUCUGCCCUGCACUUCGGGAUUAGCCUGGGAAACUGGGUCUAAUACCGGAUAGGACCACUGCCUGCAUGGGUGGUGGUGGAAAGCUUUUGCGGUGUGGGAUGGGCCCGCGGCCUAUCAGCUUGUUGGUGGGGUGAUGGCCUACCAAGGCGACGACGGGUAGCCGGCCUGAGAGGGUGACCGGCCACACUGGGACUGAGAUACGGCCCAGACUCCUACGGGAGGCAGCAGUGGGGAAUAUUGCACAAUGGGCGCAAGCCUGAUGCAGCGACGCCGCGUGAGGGAUGACGGCCUUCGGGUUGUAAACCUCUAUCAGCACCGACGAAGCGCAAGUGACGGUAGGCGCAGAAGAAGGACCGGCCAACUACGUGCCAGCCGCCGCCGUAA